CCUACGUGUGGCAGCAGUGGGGAAUAUUGCACAAUGGGGGGAACCCUGAUGCAGCGACGCCGCGUGAGUGAAGAAGUAUUUCGGUAUGUAAAGCUCUAUCAGCAGGGAAGAAAAUGACGGUACCUGACUAAGAAGCCCCGGCUAACUACGUGCCAGCAGCCGCGGUAAUACGUAGGGGGCAAGCGUUAUCCGGAUUUACUGGGUGGAAAGGGAGCGCAGACGGCUGUGCAAGUCUGGAGUGAAAGGCGGGGCCCAACCCCCGGACUGCUCUGGAAACUGUAAAGCUGGAGUGCAGGAGAGGUAAGCGGAAUUCCUAGUGUAGCGGUGAAAUGCGUAGAUAUUAGGAGGAACACCAGUGGCGAAGGCGGCUUACUGGACUGCAACUGACGUUGAGGCUCGAAAGCGUGGGGAGCAAACAGGAUUAGAUACCCUUGUAGUC
Molecule: ribosomal RNA, 439 nt
Filed under: uncultured bacterium
Lineage: Bacteria
Description: partial 16S ribosomal RNA
Rfam family: Bacterial small subunit ribosomal RNA
Source: RNAcentral